Molecule: ribosomal RNA, 391 nt
Filed under: uncultured bacterium
Lineage: Bacteria
Description: partial 16S ribosomal RNA
Rfam family: Bacterial small subunit ribosomal RNA
Source: RNAcentral
AUACGGAGGAUCCGAGCGUUAUCCGGAUUUAUUGGGUUUAAAGGGUGCGCAGGCGGCCAUUAAGUCAGCGGUUAAAUCGUGGGGCUCAACCCCGUUCUGCCGUUGAUACUGGGUGGCUUGAUUGCGGUCGAGGUUGGCGGAAUUCGUGGUGUAGCGGGGAAAUGCUUAGAUAUCACGAAGAACUCCGAUUGCGAAGGCAGCCUGCUGGACUGUAACUGACGCUGAUGCUCGAAAGUGUGGGUAUCAAACAGGAUUAGAUACCCUGGUAGUCCACACAGUAAACGAUGAAUACUCGCUGUUUGCGAUAUACAGUAAGCGGCCAAGCGAAAGCGUUAAGUAUUCCACCUGGGGAGUACGCCGGCAACGGUGAAACUCAAAUGAAUUGGCGGGG